Molecule: long non-coding RNA, 1264 nt
Organism: Dinoponera quadriceps
Lineage: Eukaryota; Metazoa; Arthropoda; Insecta; Hymenoptera; Formicidae
Exons: 2
Source: RefSeq, a predicted model, not a curated record
UGUUUUUUUUUGGGGGGGGGGGGCUCAGACAUUUAUCAUUAUUAAGUAACAAAGGUCUAUCAAAACUAUCAAAGAAGUUUAAAUUAAUCGAUUAUCGUCGGUGUUUCCAAGAUUUUAUCGAUUAUGAGAAAUUGAUACAUUUUAUAAUCAAUUUUUUGAAAAUUAAUUUUUUUUUUUUAACAUCGCCCAUCUCUUCCUGACGGUCAUAUAUUGUUUAGAAGAAUCAAAAUGAGGAAGAGAAUUAUAUUUUUAAAUAUAAAUAACAUGGUUGAAGAUGAAAUAUAGGCCAUAGUUUAUACGCUUGUAAUUACAACACGAAAAUAGAGUGAUGUGGAGCUGGUUAAUACAUCAGCAAAUCUGUAUUUCGAAGAAAUACAGUUGACGACAGGUAUAAUUUUAUAACUUAUAUACUAUUAUUUUUCACCUUAUUACAGCAUACAUUUUUAUUUAGAAAAAAAUACUCAUCUUGAAAAAAAUUACACUCUAUACACUCUGGUGUCUUGGAGAUCCCAAACUCAUUUGAUACGUUUAUUGCUCGAUGGUUCAGCGAUAACUGGCGCACGUCAACAUGUCUAUCUACUGAAGAGACUCCAAACUUUUAUUUACGUCAACGUCCUCUCUUUCCAAUUUUUCGAAAUGUCAACCUGAGAAAGUUCUUAACUUCCUCAGGUUCUACUGGAGUCCCAAGAAUCCCAGUAUGUAUAUCUAGGAUUAAGGUCAUCGAGAAUGAUGGAGACUAUUUUAUCGAUUAAAAUUUUUCUUGUACUUUUAUAAGUAAAUUUUAAAUUUUGCGAAAAAGUAAGGAAUUAAUUUGUACAUCUAAUAUAAUUAUAGAUCCGGUAACAAUUUGGAUGGAUUGGAUAAGGCACAAAGGCAUAACGACAAUGAAACAUGCAACAACGGAAGAUAUAACAAUUGAAGAUACAAUAAUGAAAGAUUUAUAACUGAAGAUUCAACAAUGCUUAAUGAAAAUAUUAGAAGGAAGAGAUUCCGGAAUAUAUUUUAGCAGCCUCGGAUAAAAGAAACAAAAAUAAUACAUUACUUACAUUUCUAAUGCAUUGUAUAGACUGUAUAUUAAGUAAGUAUUACAGCAAACAAUUUAUUUAUGAUAUAAUACAAACAUAAUACUUUUAAAAAUUCAUAUCUGCAUUGAACGCGUUAAUAUUAAUAAAAAUAUGAAUAUUUUAAUUAAUAUCUUUCUUCACAGAAUAUUGAUACUCACAUUUCAUCUGAUAAAAAUUACAAUUCUAACCUGCAGUUAAAA